AUUGAACGCUGGCGGCAGGCCUAACACAUGCAAGUCGAGCGGAUGACGGGAGCUUGCUCCUUGAUUCAGCGGCGGACGGGUGAGUAAUGCCUAGGAAUCUGCCUGGUAGUGGGGGACAACGUUUCGAAAGGAACGCUAAUACCGCAUACGUCCUACGGGAGAAAGCAGGGGACCUUCGGGCCUUGCGCUAUCAGAUGAGCCUAGGUCGGAUUAGCUAGUUGGUGGGGUAAUGGCUCACCAAGGCGACGAUCCGUAACUGGUCUGAGAGGAUGAUCAGUCACACUGGAACUGAGACACGGUCCAGACUCCUACGGGAGGCAGCAGUGGGGAAUAUUGGACAAUGGGCGAAAGCCUGAUCCAGCCAUGCCGCGUGUGUGAAGAAGGUCUUCGGAUUGUAAAGCACUUUAAGUUGGGAGGAAGGGCAGUAAGUUAAUACCUUGCUGUUUUGACGUUACCGACAGAAUAAGCACCGGCUAACUCUGUGCCAGCAGCCGCGGUAAUACAGAGGGUGCAAGCGUUAAUCGGAAUUACUGGGCGUAAAGCGCGCGUAGGUGGUUUGUUAAGUUGGAUGUGAAAGCCCCGGGCUCAACCUGGGAACUGCAUCCAAAACUGGCAAGCUAGAGUACGGUAGAGGGUGGUGGAAUUUCCUGUGUAGCGGUGAAAUGCGUAGAUAUAGGAAGGAACACCAGUGGCGAAGGCGACCACCUGGACUGAUACUGACACUGAGGUGCGAAAGCGUGGGGAGCAACAGGAUUAGAUACCCUGGUAGUCCACGCCGUAAACGAUGUCAACUAGCCGUUGGAAUCCUUGAGAUUUUAGUGGCGCAGCUAACGCAUUAAGUUGACCGCCUGGGGAGUACGGCCGCAAGGUUAAAACUCAAAUGAAUUGACGGGGGCCCGCACAAGCGGUGGAGCAUGUGGGUUUAAUUCGAAGCAACGCGAGAACCUUACCAGGCCUUGACAUGCAGAGAACUUUCCAGAGAUGGAUUGGUGCCUUCGGGAACUCUGACACAGGUGCUGCAUGGCUGUCGUCAGCUCGUGUCGUGAGAUGUUGGGUUAAGUCCCGUAACGAGCGCAACCCUUGUCCUUAGUUACCAGCACGUUAAGGUGGGCACUCUAAGGAGACUGCCGGUGACAAACCGGAGGAAGGUGGGGAUGACGUCAAGUCAUCAUGGCCCUUACGGCCUGGGCUACACAUGUGCUACAAUGGUCGGUACAGAGGGUUGCCAAGCCGCGAGGUGGAGCUAAUCUCACAAAACCGAUCGUAGUCCGGAUCGCAGUCUGCAACUCGACUGCGUGAAGUCGGAAUCGCUAGUAAUCGCGAAUCAGAAUGUCGCGGUGAAUACGUUCCCGGGCCUUGUACACACCGCCCGUCACACCAUGGGAGUGGGUUGCACCAGAAGUAGCUAGUCUAACCUUCGGGAGGACGGUUACCACGGUGUGAUUCAUGACUGGGGUGAAG
RNAcentral lists this ribosomal RNA (1461 nucleotides) under BTEX-degrading bacterium enrichment culture. RNAcentral's name for it is "bacterial SSU rRNA". It matches the Rfam family "Bacterial small subunit ribosomal RNA". The record is from RNAcentral.